CCUCAAACAAUACAGAGAUAAGUAAUUAAUUAUCGUUAUAACUAUUAUCUAUAUCAGUUUCUAAAUUACAAUUACUAGUAUAUAUACUUCAGACCGAAUGGCCGGGCAGUAAAGGUUUCAGGCUGUAGUUCUGGAGUACUCGAAAUCGAACCCAACAGAGUCGAAAAACCUCAGGAACUUUUUGAGUGGUCCAUUUGAAUAUGUGGGUCUGGCCGAAUUCCUAAUGGGCUUGCUAAUAAAAGGCUUUUUUAAAAUGUAUCUACCCUUUAUGUUCUUGUAUCCUGUAGUCAGUUUGGACUGUUCAGAUAAUAUUAGUAUCCGUAUCAAUUCUAAAUUAUGAUGGCUGAGAGAAGAGAUGGAGGGAUGAGAAAAUUCCAAUCCCGUCUACGAGUAACAUUUAUCAGCAGGACUUUCAACCGAAACUUAAAUAUAAUGCAUUCAGUUUUUUUAAUGAAAAAUGUGGAAAAAAUCGUUGGAAAACUAUUUUACGAAUAUUUAUGAUGCUUUUUGAAUGAAAAGUGGGGAAAAAAUACGAAAAUGAGUAAAUAAAUAAAUAAAUAAAAAAGGUGUUUGUCUAUUUACUUACUGUCCAAGCUGUUGCAAGGAGAAACUAUCAACGGAAAUUAAUAAACCCAAAAUAAAUGAUUCUAAUGAUAACAAACGAAGAGAAAUAUUAAUCAUUGACUACAUUACCAUUAUUAUUUAUUUUUUUAUUUUUUGAGGGCCGAGUGAUACAAGUGCAUAAAAGGCCUCAGUAACUGCAGACUCUGGGUCGUUUAUACACUUUACUCUCUUAUAAUUGGCCCAAAUUGAUCAUGGGCCAUUGGUUAUU
Molecule: long non-coding RNA, 832 nt
Organism: Centruroides sculpturatus (bark scorpion)
Lineage: Eukaryota; Metazoa; Arthropoda; Arachnida; Scorpiones; Buthidae
Exons: 3
Source: RefSeq, a predicted model, not a curated record